Molecule: long non-coding RNA, 2093 nt
Filed under: Pogona vitticeps (central bearded dragon)
Lineage: Eukaryota; Metazoa; Chordata; Lepidosauria; Squamata; Agamidae
Description: lncRNA (ENSPVIG00000023264.1)
Source: RNAcentral
GUUACAUUUUUGUGGUGCAAGGGUCCGAUGUAAAAUUAUGUUAAUAAAAUAGGCCUUUCCUCUUACCCCUCCCAAAGGCUCUCCCACCCUUCUUUCUACUCCAGGGAAAACCAAGGGGGGAGGCACAUAAGAAGCCUGCAGGGAAGAAUGGGGCAAUCUUUUUUUUUUUUUAUGGUGAAUAGAUACUGCUCAAUACACACCCAAUAUCAGAUUUGGGGUAGAAGUGCCAUGAAUGAAUGGUUUCAAAAAUGCUUCCUCACGCCCUUUAACAAGUUGAGGGGGGGGAGUUGCCUUCAUUUCAGCCAUUUUAGUCAUUCCAGAUGUUUGAGGAAAAACCUUCCUGUGCCCCUUUAUAGCUUGAAAUAAACUGUGGGAAUUUCCUACUGAGGCAAAAGAAUAAUAUGUUUUUAAAGGCUCCCUGUUAAGCUCCUCAGAAUUUUAUUGCUAGGGUAUCCGGAACAGCUGGGAGUCAUUACUUUUUCUGGACUACAACUCCCAGAAGCCACUAGCUAGCAAAUUCUGGGAGUUGUGGCUCCCCCAAAAGUAAGAUUCCUCAGCCCUAAGAUUCAGAGGCUUUUGUCUAGAGGGCAGGCUAAUGGGAGAGGCCCGGGUGUCUUCAACAUUAUUGUCAAAAAUAAAUGGAUUUGCAGCCGCCACCCCUCCCCCCCUUGCACGCCCUGCGCCGGCAAAAUCCCAUCCUCAGUCAGUCAGUCAGUCAGUCGGCGGCAACCGAGGCGCACGGGCAGCGUUUCGACCGGUUUCACCAAGGCGGCACUUGCGGCGGGUGACUCGGCGACGCCAGGCGUGCUGUGUAGCCCCAGAUCCCCCCGUUCCCCUCCUUCCGCUUGCAAAACCGUCAGACGUUUGGGGGGAAAAAUGGGGAGAAAGAUAUUGGCUGCCAGCAACUCGGAGGCUCCUCCCCGAGCCCGGAUCCCGAGAUUUUUGGACGAUUUCUUUUAACUCAGUUACGAACCUUUGGCGAAAGGAACAAGUUACCUCCCCUGCAAGGAGCGCAGGCAGAAAUCGCUGCUUCAAGGAACACCCAGCUCUCCGCCCCUCUCAGAUCUCGACCUCAGAGGCGAUUGCUUUUUUUUUUUUUUUUGGAAUUGCGGGGAGAAAUUGGCAUCGCCGGCUUGGGAGGGGGAAAAAUGCGGAUCCCUCGGGAUUCUGCACAAACGAAAGAGUGGAAGUAAAUGAAACAGAAGACAAUGAGGACAAACGUGAACGGAGGAAGAAGCCCUCUUCUGUGACCCCUCCCCUCUUUUUUUUGGGUUUUCUUGAACCUUGGCGGUGUUUCUCUGGGCUCCAGGAUUUUCAUUUUUGGGGGGGCGGAGGGGAAAGAACACCCCCCCCUGCUCACACACAUAACCUUAUUGGAUCUGACAAUCCGCCCCCCACCCCCACCCCCUUGGAUACAAAUUCGGAGGAAAUUCUAGCGUGUGCAGCGCAAUCAUCAUGCAUUCAGUGGCUGGGAAUAAGGAGAGAAUCGCAGUUAGCACCCGCAACAGGAAAUACGGGGUGAACGACCCCUGUUCCCCCACCAAACCCGCGGCUCCUUUCUCGCCGGAAAGCUGGUACAGGAAAGCUUACGAGGAAUCCCGGGCCGGCCACCGCCCCGCCCCCGAAGGCGCCGGCUCCGCUCUGGGCUCCUCCGGCACCCCUUCCCCUGGAUCGGGAACCUCGUCGCCCGGUUCUUUCACCGGCUCGCCCGGCCCCGCUUCCCCGGGGAUCGGCACCAGCUCGCCCGGCUCGCUAGGGGGCUCGCCGGGCUUCGGCACCGGCUCGCCCGGCUCCGGCAGCGGUGGAGGCUCCUCGCCGGGCUCCGACCGAGGCGUCUGGUGCGAGAACUGCAACGCCCGCUUGGUGGAGCUGAAGAGACAGGCGUUGAAGCUGCUCAUGCCGGGGCCCUACGGCGGCGGCGGCGGCAGCAGCAAUAAGGUGAGUCAGGAGAACGGGGCGGGUGUUCCCUCCAACCCAUGACAGACAGGUAACUAGGCGACCCGUCCCGUCGUCUGGGCAAACAUCCCCCGAACAAAGCGAGGAGACGCGCCCUUCUUGCUUCCCGCCUGGUUGGUUGGUUGACUUAUAUGUAU